GAAGAAUCACUUCAGUUCAUUCAAACUGUGCUGUGAAACAAACCAUGAUCUCUUCAUCUUUAGUGCUGCUUCUGGCAGUGAUAUCCUGUAUUGAUUCAUAUGAACUCACUCAGCCUGAGUCUCUGACUGUCCGUCCUGAUGCCACUCUCACUAUCAACUGUAAAGUCUCCUAUUCAGUUACUGACUAUAGUACAGCCUGGAUUCGUCAGCCUGCAGGAAAAGCUCUGGAAGACACUUCCAGUAACACAAUAACACUGCAAGGAAAGAAUAUGCAAGCUGAAGACACAGCUGUGUAUUAUUGUGCCAAAUAAACACAGUGACAGACGCCAACAG
This is a non-coding RNA of Sinocyclocheilus rhinocerous, 333 nucleotides long. The record is from the annotation of a RefSeq genome assembly. NCBI's taxonomy places the organism in Eukaryota, Metazoa, Chordata, Actinopteri, Cypriniformes, Cyprinidae.